UUAAGUUAUUAAGGGCGCACGGUGGAUGCCUUGGCACUAGAAGCCGAUGAAGGACGUUACUAACGACGAUAUGCUUUGGGGAGCUGUAAGUAAGCUUUGAUCCAGAGAUUUCCGAAUGGGGAAACCCAGCAUGAGUUAUGUCAUGUUAUCGAUAUGUGAAUACAUAGGAUAUCAGAAGGCACACCCGGAGAACUGAAACAUCUUAGUACCCGGAGGAAGAGAAAGAAAAUUCGAUUCCCUUAGUAGCGGCGAGCGAAACGGGAAGAGCCCAAACCAAAAAGCUUGCUUGUUGGGGUUGUAGGACACUCUAUACGGAGUUACAAAGGACGACAUUAGACGAAUCAUCUGGAAAGAUGAAUCAAAGAAGGUAAUAAUCCUGUAGUCGAAAAUGUUGUCUCUCUUGAGUGGAUCCUGAGUACGACGGAGCACGUGAAAUUCCGUCGGAAUCUGGGAGGACCAUCUCCUAAGGCUAAAUACUCUCUAGUGACCGAUAGUGAACCAGUACCGUGAGGGAAAGGUGAAAAGCACCCCGGAAGGGGAGUGAAAUAGAACCUGAAACCGUGUGCUUACAAGUAGUCAGAGCCCGUUAAUGGGUGAUGGCGUGCCUUUUGUAGAAUGAACCGGCGAGUUACGAUUUGAUGCAAGGUUAAGCAGUAAAUGUGGAGCCGUAGCGAAAGCGAGUCUGAAUAGGGCGUUUAGUAUUUGGUCGUAGACCCGAAACCAGGUGAUCUACCCUUGGUCAGGUUGAAGUUCAGGUAACACUGAAUGGAGGACCGAACCGACUUACGUUGAAAAGUGAGCGGAUGAACUGAGGGUAGCGGAGAAAUUCCAAUCGAACCUGGAGAUAGCUGGUUCUCUCCGAAAUAGCUUUAGGGCUAGCCUCAAGUGAUGAUUAUUGGAGGUAGAGCACUGUUUGGACGAGGGGCCCCUCUCGGGUUACCGAAUUCAGACAAACUCCGAAUGCCAAUUAAUUUAACUUGGGAGUCAGAACAUGGGUGAUAAGGUCCGUGUUCGAAAGGGAAACAGCCCAGACCACCAGCUAAGGUCCCAAAAUAUAUGUUAAGUGGAAAAGGAUGUGGCGUUGCCCAGACAACUAGGAUGUUGGCUUAGAAGCAGCCAUCAUUUAAAGAGUGCGUAAUAGCUCACUAGUCGAGUGACACUGCGCCGAAAAUGUACCGGGGCUAAACAUAUUACCGAAGCUGUGGAUUGUCCUUUGGACAAUGGUAGGAGAGCGUUCUAAGGGCGUUGAAGCAUGAUCGUAAGGACAUGUGGAGCGCUUAGAAGUGAGAAUGCCGGUGUGAGUAGCGAAAGACGGGUGAGAAUCCCGUCCACCGAUUGACUAAGGUUUCCAGAGGAAGGCUCGUCCGCUCUGGGUUAGUCGGGUCCUAAGCUGAGGCCGACAGGCGUAGGCGAUGGAUAACAGGUUGAUAUUCCUGUACCACCUAUAAUCGUUUUAAUCGAUGGGGGGACGCAGUAGGAUAGGCGAAGCGUGCGAUUGGAUUGCACGUCUAAGCAGUAAGGCUGAGUAUUAGGCAAAUCCGGUACUCGUUAAGGCUGAGCUGUGAUGGGGAGAAGACAUUGUGUCUUCGAGUCGUUGAUUUCACACUGCCGAGAAAAGCCUCUAGAUAGAAAAUAGGUGCCCGUACCGCAAACCGACACAGGUAGUCAAGAUGAGAAUUCUAAGGUGAGCGAGCGAACUCUCGUUAAGGAACUCGGCAAAAUGACCCCGUAACUUCGGGAGAAGGGGUGCUCUUUAGGGUUAACGCCCAGAAGAGCCGCAGUGAAUAGGCCCAAGCGACUGUUUAUCAAAAACACAGGUCUCUGCUAAACCGUAAGGUGAUGUAUAGGGGCUGACGCCUGCCCGGUGCUGGAAGGUUAAGAGGAGUGGUUAGCUUCUGCGAAGCUACGAAUCGAAGCCCCAGUAAACGGCGGCCGUAACUAUAACGGUCCUAAGGUAGCGAAAUUCCUUGUCGGGUAAGUUCCGACCCGCACGAAAGGCGUAACGAUUUGGGCACUGUCUCAACGAGAGACUCGGUGAAAUCAUAGUACCUGUGAAGAUGCAGGUUACCCGCGACAGGACGGAAAGACCCCGUGGAGCUUUACUGUAGCCUGAUAUUGAAAUUCGGCACAGCUUGUACAGGAUAGGUAGGAGCCUUUGAAACGUGAGCGCUAGCUUACGUGGAGGCGCUGGUGGGAUACUACCCUAGCUGUGUUGGCUUUCUAACCCGCACCACUUAUCGUGGUGGGAGACAGUGUCAGGCGGGCAGUUUGACUGGGGCGGUCGCCUCCUAAAAGGUAACGGAGGCGCUCAAAGGUUCCCUCAGAAUGGUUGGAAAUCAUUCAUAGAGUGUAAAGGCAUAAGGGAGCUUGACUGCGAGACCUACAAGUCGAGCAGGGUCGAAAGACGGACUUAGUGAUCCGGUGGUUCCGCAUGGAAGGGCCAUCGCUCAACGGAUAAAAGCUACCCCGGGGAUAACAGGCUUAUCUCCCCCAAGAGUUCACAUCGACGGGGAGGUUUGGCACCUCGAUGUCGGCUCAUCGCAUCCUGGGGCUGUAGUCGGUCCCAAGGGUUGGGCUGUUCGCCCAUUAAAGCGGUACGCGAGCUGGGUUCAGAACGUCGUGAGACAGUUCGGUCCCUAUCCGUCGUGGGCGUAGGAAAUUUGAGAGGAGCUGUCCUUAGUACGAGAGGACCGGGAUGGACAUACCUCUGGUGUACCAGUUGUCGUGCCAACGGCAUAGCUGGGUAGCUAUGUGUGGACGGGAUAAGUGCUGAAAGCAUCUAAGCAUGAAGCCCCCCUCAAGAUGAGAUUUCCCAACUUCGGUUAUAAGAUCCCUCAAAGAUGAUGAGGUUAAUAGGUUCGAGGUGGAAGCAUGGUGACAUGUGGAGCUGACGAAUACUAAUCGAUCGAAGACUUAAUCAA
Molecule: ribosomal RNA, 2921 nt
Filed under: Staphylococcus aureus WMCA6024
Lineage: Bacteria; Bacillati; Bacillota; Bacilli; Caryophanales; Staphylococcaceae
Description: bacterial LSU rRNA
Rfam family: Bacterial large subunit ribosomal RNA
Source: RNAcentral